UACAAAGGGGGCUAGCGUUGUUCGGAAUUACUGGGCGUAAAGCGUGCGCAGGCGGUCUCUCAAGUCAGGGGUGAAAGCCCAGAGCUCAACUCUGGAACUGCCCUUGAAACUGUGAGGCUCGAGUACGGGAGAGGUGAGUGGAAUUCCCAGUGUAGAGGUGAAAUUCGUAGAUAUUGGGAAGAACACCGGUGGCGAAGGCGGCUCACUGGCCCGUUUCUGACGCUCAUGCACGAUAGCGUGGGGAUCAAACAGG
RNAcentral lists this ribosomal RNA (253 nucleotides) under uncultured bacterium. Its description in RNAcentral is "partial 16S ribosomal RNA". It matches the Rfam family "Bacterial small subunit ribosomal RNA", at positions 524 to 776 of the family's 1533-position model. The record is from RNAcentral.